CACUCCUAGUUUCUAAUCAGUCUCAGACAAAUCUUUCGCCUUUUUACUAAGAUUUCCGUGGUUAAGAAACACUGAUGAGUCUAUAUGACUUAUUUUCGAACGCCUGGUCUUUGGGCGGGCA
Molecule: small nuclear RNA, 121 nt
Organism: Daphnia magna
Lineage: Eukaryota; Metazoa; Arthropoda; Branchiopoda; Diplostraca; Daphniidae
Product: U5 spliceosomal RNA
Exons: 1
Source: RefSeq, a predicted model, not a curated record